Molecule: long non-coding RNA, 258 nt
Filed under: Lepidothrix coronata (blue-crowned manakin)
Lineage: Eukaryota; Metazoa; Chordata; Aves; Passeriformes; Pipridae
Description: lncRNA (ENSLCOG00000006614.1)
Source: RNAcentral
GCGCCUCUCGGCGGGGCCGGGCGCGGGCGGGCUCGGGGCGAGAUGGAGCCGUGACCAGUGACUGCGGAGAGAGCUGCUGGCAUGGAAGUGAGCUGGGUUUGUCCGUGGGAACUGUGAGUAAGGGUUCAGAUUGCUAGCACAGUGGGAAAACAAGCAUGUUCCAAGGUGUAGCUUUUCAUCAGAACAGCAAGCUGAAUUGACUUGCUCUGGGGCUGCAGUCACUACUUGAAGGAGAGAAGGUGAGAAUUUCAAACUGAG